This 465-nucleotide ribosomal RNA is filed under the name Vreelandella stevensii. Its description in RNAcentral is "partial 16S ribosomal RNA". It matches the Rfam family "Bacterial small subunit ribosomal RNA", at positions 338 to 795 of the family's 1533-position model. The record is from RNAcentral. Lineage: Bacteria; Pseudomonadati; Pseudomonadota; Gammaproteobacteria; Oceanospirillales; Halomonadaceae.
CCUACGGGUGGCUGCAGUGGGGAAUAUUGGACAAUGGGCGAAAGCCUGAUCCAGCCAUGCCGCGUGUGUGAAGAAGGCCUUCGGGUUGUAAAGCACUUUCAGUGGGGAAGAAAGCCUUGGGGCUAAUACCCUCGAGGAAGGACAUCACCCACAGAAGAAGCACCGGCUAACUCCGUGCCAGCAGCCGCGGUAAUACGGAGGGUGCGAGCGUUAAUCGGAAUUACUGGGCGUAAAGCGCGCGUAGGCGGUCUGAUAAGCCGGUUGUGAAAGCCCCGGGCUCAACCUGGGAACGGCAUCCGGAACUGUCACGCUAGAGUGCAGGAGAGGAAGGUAGAAUUCCCGGUGUAGCGGUGAAAUGCGUAGAGAUCGGGAGGAAUACCAGUGGCGAAGGCGGCCUUCUGGACUGACACUGACGCUGAGGUGCGAAAGCGUGGGUAGCAAACAGGAUUAGAUACCCUGGUAGUC